This 168-nucleotide ribosomal RNA is filed under the name Klebsiella pneumoniae IS22. RNAcentral's name for it is "Small Subunit Ribosomal RNA; ssuRNA; SSU rRNA". It matches the Rfam family "Bacterial small subunit ribosomal RNA", at positions 1335 to 1502 of the family's 1533-position model. Lineage: Bacteria; Pseudomonadati; Pseudomonadota; Gammaproteobacteria; Enterobacterales; Enterobacteriaceae. The record is from RNAcentral.
CUAGUAAUCGUAGAUCAGAAUGCUACGGUGAAUACGUUCCCGGGCCUUGUACACACCGCCCGUCACACCAUGGGAGUGGGUUGCAAAAGAAGUAGGUAGCUUAACCUUCGGGAGGGCGCUUACCACUUUGUGAUUCAUGACUGGGGUGAAGUCGUAACAAGGUAACCG